Molecule: transfer RNA, 74 nt
Filed under: Candidatus Gracilibacteria bacterium GN02-873
Lineage: Bacteria; Candidatus Altimarinota
Also listed under: 2 other names
Description: tRNA-Arg
Rfam family: tRNA
About the family: Transfer RNA (tRNA) molecules are approximately 80 nucleotides in length.
Source: RNAcentral
GUCUCCGUAGUUAAGUGGAAUAAUAAGGCACUCCUAAGGCUUAGUCACAAGUUCGAUCCUUGUCGGAGACACCA